CUAAGUUUGAUGGCGACCGGCGCACGGGUGAGUAACACGUAUCCAACCUGCCGAUAACUCCGGAAUAGCCUUUCGAAAGAAAGAUUAAUACCGGAUGGCAUACGAAUAUCGCAUGAUAUUUUUAUUAAAGAAUUUCGGUUAUCGAUGGGGAUGCGUUCCAUUAGUUUGUUGGCGGGGUAACGGCCCACCAAGACAACGAUGGAUAGGGGUUCUGAGAGGAAGGUCCCCCACAUUGGAACUGAGACACGGUCCAA
Molecule: ribosomal RNA, 254 nt
Filed under: uncultured bacterium
Lineage: Bacteria
Description: partial 16S ribosomal RNA
Rfam family: Bacterial small subunit ribosomal RNA
Source: RNAcentral